Non-coding RNA from Ciona intestinalis (vase tunicate), 1840 nucleotides. Lineage: Eukaryota; Metazoa; Chordata; Ascidiacea; Phlebobranchia; Cionidae. The record is from RefSeq and is a predicted model, not a curated record.
AUUUGCCCAAUUUCCAUCUCCAAUUAAAACGUCUGGAUUGAAUCCACACUUGUAAAAAUAAAAUUCAUAUGCGCAAUCUCUCAUAGCACAAAAAUGGGUAAAAGCAUUACGAAGAUCAGUGACAGGAAUGCUUUCAUCAAAUAAAAUCCUCAGACUGCUUUCCACACUGACAUGAUACUUAAGAAAGAACAAAAUGUGCAGAUCCAAAAUGUGCAGCUGGAUGCAUCGAUGUUUUUGGCGGUGCGCAUCGAUUUUUUCCUGUUUGGCACUAUAGUGAAAACAUCUCCUAUACACCUAAAGUGCGACUUACGACAUGUAUACACGUAUACAGAUUAGUUUGGCAGGUAGGGGUUAGUGUUUUGGUGGUAGAAGUUAGUGGUUACAUUUAGCAGUAACAAGGUAAGAGGGGACAGUUCAAAAUGUUAUUAAUUUGGAAUUAUACGGAAUUUAUAGAUUAGGGACCUUUUACUUAAUCUCCUAUUUUAUAAGAGCAAAGAUAAUUUUAACAACAUGUUUGUGAAGUUGUAACAUGAACUUGACCGAAUUACAGUACAUUGGGAACAGUGUGAACUUUGCUUCUUUGGGCAAGAUGACAUUAUGGUUUAUGUUGCUCUUGCACACAUGAAGAGCGCAGUGAAUUUGAUUAUAAAAGUGAACCAGGGUUUGUACUCAUUUGCAUAAUGCCUUGCGCAGGAAUGGACAAAGCGGGUGGUGGGCAUUAUCACUGCCCUUGUUCUAAGCAUUUUUUCACCGGACUGUAAAGAGGCAUUGUUAUACAUAGGACCUGCACAUAUUAUAGAUUCGGACUGUGGGCUAACGUCUUAUCUCUCGACGCCCACACUAUCAUGCUAAUUAGUUCUUGUGAUUUGGAAAUUCACCAGUUUGAGUAAAAGGAAGGGGCUACUGAGUGAAUAAAUGGUGAGCUAUGUUAAGAUCCUCCUUGAAAACAGUAAAGAGAGAACUAGAAAGUAAAAAACGGUGCCAGUCUUACUAAUGCAAAACAUGUGCAUCGGAAAGGAUUAGAGGAGAGCACUGAAACAAGUACAAUAUGUCAACAAAUUUAAUUUGCAGAUUGCAUAGUUUGACCCAAGAAGACCAAGACUCUAUGCAAUGCUUUCCAUUCAACAAAAUGAUCCCGCAACAUAUUCCAUUUGAUCGUUCAUGCUUCCCCAAACAAAAAAGAAAAUGUUUGUCUAAAAGAUCAAUCGGUUUUAGAGUACCAUCGAUCCAAUUAAGCUACAGUGUUUGAAAUGGGAAUAAUUUGGAAAGAAUCAUGUAGCAGUGGAAACAGCUGUAAACCUGACACUAUAAACACUGGGUAAAAUACCAUUAAAACAAAUAAAAGUUUUCAUUAACACCAUUGGUAUGGCGCCAUGGCUCAGUGGUUUAGGCAUUUCCAUCGAAACCAGCAAUGUCUCUGGUUCAAUGCUCAACGGCGAUACUAAUACUGAUUGGGUUGUCCAUAUCAAAUAAAAAUCACAUGAGGAUAGAAAAAAUGGUGCCAAUAAUACUCGUCCGACUGCAAUGCGGUGUUACGGCACCGGUCGCACAAAGAACCUAAAUGGACUUUCUGGGUGUUGAGGUAAUGGGCCAAAUCUGGCCUAAAUCCCAGAAAAGGACCUCAUCCAUAAAAAAAUACCCUAUUAUUGUUUGUAGAUUGCAUGUGACAUUGGUAUUAUACGCGACAUCCGGUUCGAAUGUUGAGAUAUUUACUGCAUUUGAAAAAAAACAAUGUGAAAUUUGUGUUAAAUUUUAAUAAAAUUUUGUUCUUUACAUUGUCUGAAAAUGAGUUUUGUAGUCUUUGAAUCUCUGAUAAAUAUAGAUAUAUAUUUGUGUGAAA